GCAGUUGGAAAGCUAUCAGUGAGCGAAAUGCCAAAAAUUUUGUUUUAUAAAAAUCGCUGAAUGAUCUCAGUACCGCGGAUUUUUACACCGAGAGAAAGAGAAAAAAUCUAGAUUCUACGAGAUCAAAAGAGUCGUUUCAAAAAGAGUCGAUAAGGAAAAGAUUGAAUAUUUCAUCAAGUGGAAGGGCUACUCGAGCCUA
Long non-coding RNA from Pocillopora damicornis (cauliflower coral), 199 nucleotides. The record is from RefSeq and is a predicted model, not a curated record. NCBI's taxonomy places the organism in Eukaryota, Metazoa, Cnidaria, Anthozoa, Scleractinia, Pocilloporidae.